ACGCUCGACACCUACUGGAGGCAGCAGUGGGGAAUAUUGCACAAUGGGGGAAACCCUGAUGCAGCGACGCCGCGUGAAGGAAGAAGUAUCUCGGUAUGUAAACUUCUAUCAGCAGGGAAGAAAGUGACGGUACCUGACUAAGAAGCCCCGGCUAACUACGUGUCAGCAGCCGCGGUAAUCUGAGGCGGCGUGGCAAGGC
This 199-nucleotide ribosomal RNA is filed under the name uncultured bacterium. RNAcentral describes it as "partial 16S ribosomal RNA". It matches the Rfam family "Bacterial small subunit ribosomal RNA", at positions 328 to 538 of the family's 1533-position model. The record is from RNAcentral.